UACGUAGGGUGCGAGCGUUAAUCGGAAUUACUGGGCGUAAAGUGUGCGCAGGCGGCCGCGCAAGUCGAGUGUGAAAGCCCCGGGCUUAACUUGGGAAUUGCGCUCGAAACUACGUGGCUGGAGUGUGGCAGAGGAAGGUGGAAUUCCAGGUGUAGCGGUGAAAUGCGUAGAUAUCUGGAGGAACACCGGUGGCGAAGGCGGCAUCCUGGACCAAUACUGACACUGAGGAGCGAAAGCCAGGGGAGCAAACGGG
This 253-nucleotide ribosomal RNA is filed under the name uncultured bacterium. RNAcentral describes it as "partial 16S ribosomal RNA". It matches the Rfam family "Bacterial small subunit ribosomal RNA", at positions 524 to 776 of the family's 1533-position model. The record is from RNAcentral.